GUACGUUAGCCAUAGCCAUCGCCAUAGGGACUGACUGAUUUUCCCCAAGAAAACUCAAGACUCAGCGAGUCCAAGCAAACAAAUGGGUGUUUUUGCAGCAAUAGGGGUCAUUCUCCCAUUUCCGUACUACUACUGGCUAUGGACAAAACCACAGUCAUGGGUGAACCUUUGUGGGAAAGAGCGUGACCCAUGUAAAGUUAUGGCCCAUGUCUCCCAUUUCCUCAAGCUGCUUCAGUUCAUUUCUCUCUAUUCUGUCUCUUCCUUCUCCUUGCCUCCUCUCUACUUCUGGCCCCUCUUUGGCUUUGGUCAGUUUCUCAACUUCAGGGUAUACCAGUUGCUUGGUGAAUCAGGUACGUACUAUGGUGUACGCUUUGGAGAGAACAUUCCUUGGGUGACAGAAUUUCCAUUUGGUGUUAUAAAAGAUCCUCAAUAUGUUGGAAGCAUUUUGAGCCUUCUUGCAUGUCUAUCUUGGGUCCCCUUCCAAUACAUUCUUUUGUGGUCUCUGGGAUAUGCAUUCAUGAUUCAUGUGGAAUCAAAAGAGGAUCCGGCUACUCGUGCGNNCUUUCUUGAAUCUUGAUUGCAGUAAUUGCAGUUCACUAACCAAUGAUCUUGAAGAUUUUGAGGGGGGUAACAAUUUGAAGGUGCUUUACUGACUUUUAUCUAGUUUAAUAACACCUUUGAACAUUUUGCCCUUGUAUUCCAAUUUAUAUUUCAACUUUUUAUGAUUAUUUACAAUGCCUGUAACUCAUUCUCAUAGAAAUUCGUUAAGCAGGUUGUUUCUAGUUUUUUCCA
RNAcentral lists this unclassified non-coding RNA (792 nucleotides) under Hevea brasiliensis (rubber tree). Lineage: Eukaryota; Viridiplantae; Streptophyta; Magnoliopsida; Malpighiales; Euphorbiaceae. The record is from RNAcentral.